This 253-nucleotide unclassified non-coding RNA is filed under the name uncultured Planctomycetota bacterium. RNAcentral's name for it is "uncultured planctomycete contains 16S-23S intergenic spacer region". It matches the Rfam family "Bacterial small subunit ribosomal RNA", at positions 524 to 776 of the family's 1533-position model. Lineage: Bacteria; Pseudomonadati; Planctomycetota. The record is from RNAcentral.
GACGAAGGUGGCGAGCGUUGUUCGGAAUCACUGGGCAUAAAGCGCACGUAGGCGGCUCCGCAAGUCGGUUGUGAAAUCCCUCGGCCUAACCGAGGAAUGGCGACCGAUACUGCGGGGCUUGAGACCGGGAGGGGUGUGUAGAAUUCCGGGUGGAGCGGUGAAAUGCGUUGAUAUCCGGAGGAACACCGGCGGCGAAAGCGACACACUGGUCCGGUUCUGACGCUAAGGUGCGAAAGCCAGGGGAGCAAACGGG